This is a long non-coding RNA of Glycine soja, 836 nucleotides long. RefSeq lists it as uncharacterized. Lineage: Eukaryota; Viridiplantae; Streptophyta; Magnoliopsida; Fabales; Fabaceae. The transcript has 2 exons. The record is from RefSeq and is a predicted model, not a curated record.
CAGGCCCUUAAACACAUAUCACUUGCUUGGUGUUGGAGCUUGGUAUGCCAUUCUCCUAUGAACCUUUCACCCUACUCCUUUUCUCCUUCAAAACUUGAAUUACCUUCAACCAUACCUUGUUUUUCAAGCCUCUAAAGGUAAGAUACUUUGGAAUAACCAUGAAUGACGAAAAUGGAACCACUCCAACAAUGGUGUCACCACCUUCACCUCAUAGCUCAUGUGCGUCCACUGAUCCCAACCAGGAGGACAACAACAACAACAACGAUAAUAACAAAGAUGGUGACAACAACAACAACGACGAUGAUAACAACAAUAAUAACGAUGACAACGACAACAACAACAACGACCCCAACAACAACAACCCUGAAGCUCCUUCCUUGGUUCUAGUAGGGUGCCCUCACUGCCUUAUGUAUCUGAUGAUCUCUGAGGAUAACCUUAAGUGCCCAAAAUGAAAAAGCACUAAUUUGAUUCAUUUUACCUAAACAUAAGAAGGGGACAAAGUACUAGGCUACCUUGUUUCUAAUUCUGCAUUCUAUGUUGCAAGUAAGAAAUGUUAGCAUUUCACCUAGGAAUUUUCUUUUUAGGAUCUUUCUUUAAUAUUACCCUUUUUAUCUUUUUUAAACCAUUUUUAUGAGUAGUGAUAAAUGUGCUCCACUUUUUACCUUGAAUUUCAUUAGUUACGAUGGAAAUCCCAAAGGAGUCGAGUGUAAAUAGCACUACUCCUAUCAGAUAAAUGGUUUCUUGAACUAGGUUGGUCAUCUUAAAUUAAUAUUAUGUUAGUCGGUUUCCUUGAUUGGUGGGGAUCAUGAAAAAAUAUUGUAGGCUUGAUUACAAAA